RNAcentral lists this ribosomal RNA (120 nucleotides) under uncultured bacterium. Its description in RNAcentral is "partial 16S ribosomal RNA". It matches the Rfam family "Bacterial small subunit ribosomal RNA", at positions 215 to 334 of the family's 1533-position model. The record is from RNAcentral.
GCGGUGAUGGAUGAGCUCGCGGCCUAUCAGCUUGUUGGUGGGGUAACGGCCCACCAAGGCUUCGACGGGUAGCCGGCCUGAGAGGGUGACCGGCCACACUGGGACUGAGACACGGCCCAG